UAAGGUGGUUAUAGCACGAGGGAUCCACCUCUUCCCAUUCCGAACAGAGAAGUUAAGCCUCGUCACGCCGAUGGUACUGCGUAACAGUGGGAGAGUAGGUAGCCGCCGUUU
Molecule: ribosomal RNA, 111 nt
Filed under: Parabacteroides sp.
Lineage: Bacteria; Pseudomonadati; Bacteroidota; Bacteroidia; Bacteroidales; Tannerellaceae
Also listed under: 3 other names
Source: RNAcentral